UUGGGGCAGGAAAAAUAAAUUGUUGUUAUCCUGAUUAUGUGAAUCAAGGACAGUGGAACUAUACUUGGCCUUUUGUUAUGAUGGAGGGACUCGCCAUCAAUUAAGUAGCACUCGCUAGGCAAGGGACCUGGGUUCCAAAACUCAAGUGAAUUGGGAGAGAGGUUGGGGAUAGGUAGUAAUAGCUGAUGGUAUGGGCCCCCUGGUGAGGGCCCUACAUGCUAAUUAUACUGCCUUGUCUCUCCACUGUGGAACGUCAGAGCUAAUUUUGAUUCCAUUAGGAGUCUAGUUACAGGCUGUUGAGCUGAAGUCACUUUGGGCCAAUGGUGCACCAGCACUGAGGCUCCCCUACUACAAGCUAAAAUCACUGAUGAGCUGCACUGACUAA
Molecule: long non-coding RNA, 385 nt
Organism: Dermochelys coriacea (leatherback sea turtle)
Lineage: Eukaryota; Metazoa; Chordata; Testudines; Dermochelyidae
Exons: 3
Source: RefSeq, a predicted model, not a curated record